This 287-nucleotide non-coding RNA is filed under the name Oryctolagus cuniculus (rabbit). RNAcentral describes it as "Eukaryotic small subunit ribosomal RNA". It matches the Rfam family "Eukaryotic small subunit ribosomal RNA", at positions 1229 to 1434 of the family's 1831-position model. The record is from Rfam by way of RNAcentral. Lineage: Eukaryota; Metazoa; Chordata; Mammalia; Lagomorpha; Leporidae.
CACAGACAAGAUUGACAGAUCGAUAGCUCUUUCUCAAUUCCGUGUAGGGUGGUGCAUGGCCGUUUGUAGGUGGGGGAGCGAUUUGUCUGGUUAAUUCUGAUAACGAACAAGACUCUGGCAUGCUAACUAGUUGCAUCAUUCCUGAGCAUUUGUUUUUUUCUGUUUUUUUUUUUUUUUUUAUAAUAGCCAUUCUUUUUCUUUAAAGAUUUUAUUUAUUUAUUUGAAAGUCAGAGUUACACACACAGAGAGAAGGAGAGGCAGAGAGAGAGAGAGGCCUUCCAUCCACU